UGUCUAUUAAUUGUAGACCAGUAUGAAAGGCAAAAUGAGGGUCUAACUGUCUCUUAUAAUAAAUCAAUUAAACUGAUCUCCUAGUAAAAAAGCUAGAAUAUCCUCAUAAGACCAGAAGACCCUGUGAAGCUUAAACUAACCUAUUAAACCACAUAAUAACUACUUUCGGUUGGGGCGACCUUGGAAAAAAAAGAAACUUCCAAACAUAUGACUACCCAUACUCUUUAGGCCCACAAGCCUUUAAACGACCCAGCACAGCUGAUAAUUGAACCAAGUUACUCCAGGGAUAACAGCGCCAUCUUCUUCAAGAGCCCAUAUCAAAAAGAAGGUUUACGACCUCGAUGUUGGAUCAGGACAUCCUAAUGGUGCA
Molecule: ribosomal RNA, 370 nt
Filed under: Carphophis amoenus
Lineage: Eukaryota; Metazoa; Chordata; Lepidosauria; Squamata; Dipsadidae
Description: partial 16S ribosomal RNA
Rfam family: Bacterial large subunit ribosomal RNA
Source: RNAcentral